RNAcentral lists this transfer RNA (67 nucleotides) under Amblyomma sp. RNAcentral's name for it is "tRNA-Ala". The record is from RNAcentral. Lineage: Eukaryota; Metazoa; Arthropoda; Arachnida; Ixodida; Ixodidae.
AGAAAAGUAUUUAAAGUUUAUAAAAAUUAGUUUGCAACUAUAAAUUGGUAUUUUUUACCCUUUUCUA